UACGAAGGGGGCUAGCGUUGCUCGGAAUCACUGGGCGUAAAGGGUGCGUAGGCGGGUCUUUAAGUCAGGGGUGAAAUCCUGGAGCUCAACUCCAGAACUGCCUUUGAUACUGAAGAUCUUGAGUUCGGGAGAGGUGAGUGGAACUGCGAGUGUAGAGGUGAAAUUCGUAGAUAUUCGCAAGAACACCAGUGGCGAAGGCGGCUCACUGGCCCGAUACUGACGCUGAGGCGCGACAGCGUGGGGAUCAAACAGG
RNAcentral lists this ribosomal RNA (253 nucleotides) under uncultured bacterium. RNAcentral's name for it is "partial 16S ribosomal RNA". It matches the Rfam family "Bacterial small subunit ribosomal RNA", at positions 524 to 776 of the family's 1533-position model. The record is from RNAcentral.